AAGGUACCCCGGGGAUAACAGGCUGAUCUUCCCCAAGAGUCCAUAUCGACGGGAUGGUUUGGCACCUCGAUGUCGGCUCGUCGCAUCCUGGGGCUGGAGUCGGUCCCAAGGGUUGGGCUGUUCGCCCAUUAAAGCGGUACGCGAGCUGGGUUUAGAACGUCGUGAGACAGUUCGGUCCCUAUCCGCUGUGCGCGUAGGAGUCUUGAGAAGGGCUGUCCCUAGUACGAGAGGACCGGGACGGACGAACCUCUGGUGUGCCAGUUGUUCUGCCAAGGGCAUGGCUGGUUGGCUACGUUCGGGAGGGAUAACCGCUGAAAGCAUCUAAGCGGGAAGCCUGCUUCGAGAUGAGGACUCCCACCCACUUGAUGGGGUAAGGCUCCCAGUAGACGACUGGGUUGAUAGGCCGGAUAUGGAAGCACGGUAACGUGUGGAGUUGACCGGUACUAAUAGGCCGAGGGCUUGUCCUCAGUUG
This 472-nucleotide ribosomal RNA is filed under the name Actinospica acidiphila. RNAcentral describes it as "partial 23S ribosomal RNA". It matches the Rfam family "Bacterial large subunit ribosomal RNA", at positions 2460 to 2925 of the family's 2925-position model. Lineage: Bacteria; Bacillati; Actinomycetota; Actinomycetes; Catenulisporales; Actinospicaceae. The record is from RNAcentral.